CACUCCUACGGGAGGCAGCAGUGGGGAAUAUUGGACAAUGGGCGCAAGCCUGAUCCAGCCAUGCCGCGUGAGUGAUGAAGGCCCUAGGGUUGUAAAGCUCUUUCACCGGUGAAGAUAAUGACGGUAACCGGAGAAGAAGCCCCGGCUAACUUCGUGCCAGCAGCCGCGGUAAUACGAAGGGGGCUAGCGUUGUUCGGAUUUACUGGGCGUAAAGCGCACGUAGGCGGACUAUUAAGUCAGGGGUGAAAUCCCGGGGCUCAACCCCGGAACUGCCUUUGAUACUGGUAGUCUUGAGUUCGAGAGAGGUGAGUGGAAUUCCGAGUGUAGAGGUGAAAUUCGUAGAUAUUCGGAGGAACACCAGUGGCGAAGGCGGCUCACUGGCUCGAUACUGACGCUGAGGUGCGAAAGCGUGGGGAGCAAACAGGAUUAGAAACCCGAGUAGUCCCAU
RNAcentral lists this ribosomal RNA (448 nucleotides) under uncultured organism. Its description in RNAcentral is "partial 16S ribosomal RNA". It matches the Rfam family "Bacterial small subunit ribosomal RNA", at positions 334 to 798 of the family's 1533-position model. The record is from RNAcentral.